AUGAAAUGUGGAGUGUGACUGUAAGUGUUGAAGAAAUGUAUAAAUAGCUAAGAUAAUGAAGUUAGGAACACUGAUAGAUGGAACAGGAGAGCGGAAAAAGACUGUGAGUGGCGGAAACGUUGGUUGGAGCUGUGAGUGGAGAGAAAUGGAGGAAGCUGCAGGAGGAGAGAUCGGUGAGUGAGUGAAGGUGAGUUCCGGUUAUUGCUAGAGGAAGGAUUACGGUGAUGGAGAAAGUGCAAGAUAGUUAGUAGGGAGGUGAGGUGAGUUGGAGGGAGUUUGGAGGAGCAGAAAACGCACGGAGAAAGUGAGGCGAAAUGCUGAAAGAGAGAGAGAGUGGGUGAAGUGAAGUGUUGUGGGGAUUGGUAAGGAUAAGGAGAGGAGUGCUGGAAGCCGAGGCAAACGAAGAGGAGGCAAGAGAGAUACUGAGAGUGGAACGGUUAGAGGUAGAAUGAGUGCGAGAGGGUAGGAGGCGAGAUGCUGACAGAGGAAGAUAGGGAGAGGUAGAGCACUGUGAGAGACUGGUAUUGAUAGGAAGAAGAGAAUGGGAAGUCGAGACAAAC
This 560-nucleotide long non-coding RNA is filed under the name Carica papaya (papaya). Its description in RNAcentral is "long non-coding RNA (CPAP_LNC001045)". Lineage: Eukaryota; Viridiplantae; Streptophyta; Magnoliopsida; Brassicales; Caricaceae. The record is from RNAcentral.